RNAcentral lists this ribosomal RNA (500 nucleotides) under uncultured bacterium. RNAcentral describes it as "partial 16S ribosomal RNA". It matches the Rfam family "Bacterial small subunit ribosomal RNA", at positions 28 to 523 of the family's 1533-position model. The record is from RNAcentral.
GACGAACGCUGGCGGCGUGCCUAAUACAUGCAAGUCGAGCGGACCUCUUCGGAGGUUAGCGGCGGACGGGAGAGUAACACGUGGGCAACCUGCCUGUAAGACUGGGAUAACUUCGGGAAACCGGAGCUAAUACCGGAUAAUCCUUUCCCUCUCAUGAGGGAAGGCUGAAAGACGGUUUCGGCUGUCACUUACAGAUGGGCCCGCGGCGCAUUAGCUAGUUGGUGAGGUAACGGCUCACAAAGGCGACGCUGCGUAGCCGACCUGAGAGGGUGGUCGGCCACACUGGGACUGAGCCACGGCCCAGACUCCUACGGGAGGCAGCAGUAGGGAAUCUGCCGCAAUGGACGAAAGUCUGACGGAGCAACGCCGCGUGAGCGAAGAAGGCAUUCGGGUCGUAAAGCUCUGUUGGCAGGGAAGAACAAGUAUCGGAGUAACUGCCGGUACCUUGACGGUACCUGACCAGAAAGCCACGGCUAACUACGUGCCAGCCGCCGCAGUAA